RNAcentral lists this unclassified non-coding RNA (391 nucleotides) under soil metagenome. RNAcentral describes it as "partial contains 5.8S ribosomal RNA, internal transcribed spacer 2, and large subunit ribosomal RNA". The stretch from base 3 to 122 matches the Rfam family "5.8S ribosomal RNA", at positions 37 to 154 of the family's 154-position model. The record is from RNAcentral.
GGUGAAGAACGCAGCGAAAUGCGAUACUUGGUGUGAAUUGCAGAAUCCCGUGAACCAUCGAGUCUUUGAACGCAAGUUGCGCCCGAAGCCAUUAGGCCGAGGGCACGCCUGCCUGGGCGUCACACGUCGUUGCCCCCCCAUCUACUCCUUCGGGAUUGCGGGGGGCGGAUGAUGGCCUCUCGUGCGCCUCGUCGCGCGGUUGGCCUAAAUGCCAAGUCCUCGGCGACGCACGCCACGACAAUCGGUGGUUGCGAAACCUCGGUUGCCUGUCGUGUGCGGUCGUCGCGCAUCGAGGGCUCGAAAAAAUUGCCGGGCUUCGGCUCGACUUUCAACGCGACCCCAGGUCAGGCGGGGUUACCCGCUGAAUUUAAGCAUAUCAAUAAGCGGAGGA